UCCCUGGUAGUUCAGAUGGUAAAGCGUCUGCCUAUAAUGCGGGAGACCCCGGGUUCGAUCCCUGGGUUGGGAA
RNAcentral lists this transfer RNA (73 nucleotides) under Bos taurus (domestic cattle). It matches the Rfam family "tRNA". Rfam says of the family: Transfer RNA (tRNA) molecules are approximately 80 nucleotides in length. Their secondary structure includes four short double-helical elements and three loops (D, anti-codon, and T loops). The record is from Rfam by way of RNAcentral. RNAcentral also lists the same sequence under 2 other names. Lineage: Eukaryota; Metazoa; Chordata; Mammalia; Artiodactyla; Bovidae.